RNAcentral lists this ribosomal RNA (2639 nucleotides) under Klebsiella pneumoniae. Its description in RNAcentral is "bacterial LSU rRNA". It matches the Rfam family "Bacterial large subunit ribosomal RNA". Lineage: Bacteria; Pseudomonadati; Pseudomonadota; Gammaproteobacteria; Enterobacterales; Enterobacteriaceae. The record is from RNAcentral. RNAcentral also lists the same sequence under 1 other name.
ACUAUCGUUAACUGAAUACAUAGGUUAACGAGGCGAACCGGGGGAACUGAAACAUCUAAGUACCCCGAGGAAAAGAAAUCAACCGAGAUUCCCCCAGUAGCGGCGAGCGAACGGGGAGCAGCCCAGAGUCUGAAUCAGCUUGUGUGUUAGUGGAACGGUCUGGAAAGUCCGACGGUACAGGGUGAUAGUCCCGUACACCAAAAUGCACAGGCUGUGAACUCGAAGAGUAGGGCGGGACACGUGGUAUCCUGUCUGAAUAUGGGGGGACCAUCCUCCAAGGCUAAAUACUCCUGACUGACCGAUAGUGAACCAGUACCGUGAGGGAAAGGCGAAAAGAACCCCGGCGAGGGGAGUGAAAAAGAACCUGAAACCGUGUACGUACAAGCAGUGGGAGCACCUUCGGGUGUGACUGCGUACCUUUUGUAUAAUGGGUCAGCGACUUAUAUUCUGUAGCAAGGUUAACCGUAUAGGGGAGCCGCAGGGAAACCGAGUCUUAACUGGGCGUUAAGUUGCAGGGUAUAGACCCGAAACCCGGUGAUCUAGCCAUGGGCAGGUUGAAGGUUGGGUAACACUAACUGGAGGACCGAACCGACUAAUGUUGAAAAAUUAGCGGAUGACUUGUGGCUGGGGGUGAAAGGCCAAUCAAACCGGGAGAUAGCUGGUUCUCCCCGAAAGCUAUUUAGGUAGCGCCUCGUGAACUCAUCUUCGGGGGUAGAGCACUGUUUCGGCUAGGGGGUCAUCCCGACUUACCAACCCGAUGCAAACUACGAAUACCGAAGAAUGUUAUCACGGGAGACACACGGCGGGUGCUAACGUCCGUCGUGAAGAGGGAAACAACCCAGACCGCCAGCUAAGGUCCCAAAGUCAUGGUUAAGUGGGAAACGAUGUGGGAAGGCACAGACAGCCAGGAUGUUGGCUUAGAAGCAGCCAUCAUUUAAAGAAAGCGUAAUAGCUCACUGGUCGAGUCGGCCUGCGCGGAAGAUGUAACGGGGCUAAACCAUGCACCGAAGCUGCGGCAGCGACACUAUGUGUUGUUGGGUAGGGGAGCGUUCUGUAAGCCUGCGAAGGUGUGCUGUGAGGCAUGCUGGAGGUAUCAGAAGUGCGAAUGCUGACAUAAGUAACGAUAAAGCGGGUGAAAAGCCCGCUCGCCGGAAGACCAAGGGUUCCUGUCCAACGUUAAUCGGGGCAGGGUGAGUCGACCCCUAAGGCGAGGCCGAAAGGCGUAGUCGAUGGGAAACAGGUUAAUAUUCCUGUACUUGGUGUUACUGCGAAGGGGGGACGGAGAAGGCUAUGUUAGCCGGGCGACGGUUGUCCCGGUUUAAGCAUGUAGGCUGGUUGUCCAGGCAAAUCCGGAUAAUCAAGGCUGAGGUGUGAUGACGAGGCACUACGGUGCUGAAGUAACAAAUGCCCUGCUUCCAGGAAAAGCCUCUAAGCAUCAGGUAACAUUAAAUCGUACCCCAAACCGACACAGGUGGUCAGGUAGAGAAUACCAAGGCGCUUGAGAGAACUCGGGUGAAGGAACUAGGCAAAAUGGUGCCGUAACUUCGGGAGAAGGCACGCUGGUGUGUAGGUGAAGUCCCUGCGGAUGGAGCUGAGACCAGUCGAAGAUACCAGCUGGCUGCAACUGUUUAUUAAAAACACAGCACUGUGCAAACACGAAAGUGGACGUAUACGGUGUGACGCCUGCCCGGUGCCGGAAGGUUAAUUGAUGGGGUUAUCCGUAAGGAGAAGCUCUUGAUCGAAGCCCCGGUAAACGGCGGCCGUAACUAUAACGGUCCUAAGGUAGCGAAAUUCCUUGUCGGGUAAGUUCCGACCUGCACGAAUGGCGUAAUGAUGGCCAGGCUGUCUCCACCCGAGACUCAGUGAAAUUGAACUCGCUGUGAAGAUGCAGUGUACCCGCGGCAAGACGGAAAGACCCCGUGAACCUUUACUAUAGCUUGACACUGAACAUUGAGCCUUGAUGUGUAGGAUAGGUGGGAGGCUUUGAAGCGUGGACGCCAGUCUGCGUGGAGCCAACCUUGAAAUACCACCCUUUAAUGUUUGAUGUUCUAACGUUGGCCCCUGACCGGGGUUGCGGACAGUGUCUGGUGGGUAGUUUGACUGGGGCGGUCUCCUCCCAAAGCGUAACGGAGGAGCACGAAGGUUAGCUAAUCCUGGUCGGACAUCAGGAGGUUAGUGCAAUGGCAUAAGCUAGCUUGACUGCGAGCGUGACGGCGCGAGCAGGUGCGAAAGCAGGUCAUAGUGAUCCGGUGGUUCUGAAUGGAAGGGCCAUCGCUCAACGGAUAAAAGGUACUCCGGGGAUAACAGGCUGAUACCGCCCAAGAGUUCAUAUCGACGGCGGUGUUUGGCACCUCGAUGUCGGCUCAUCACAUCCUGGGGCUGAAGUAGGUCCCAAGGGUAUGGCUGUUCGCCAUUUAAAGUGGUACGCGAGCUGGGUUUAGAACGUCGUGAGACAGUUCGGUCCCUAUCUGCCGUGGGCGCUGGAGAAUUGAGGGGGGCUGCUCCUAGUACGAGAGGACCGGAGUGGACGCAUCACUGGUGUUCGGGUUGUCAUGCCAAUGGCACUGCCCGGUAGCUAAAUGCGGAAGAGAUAAGUGCUGAAAGCAUCUAAGCACGAAACUUGCCCCGAGAUGAGUUCU